Molecule: ribosomal RNA, 460 nt
Filed under: uncultured bacterium
Lineage: Bacteria
Description: partial 16S ribosomal RNA
Rfam family: Bacterial small subunit ribosomal RNA
Source: RNAcentral
CCUACGGGGUGCAGCAGUGAGGAAUAUUGGUCAAUGGGCGGAAUCCUGAACCAGCCAUGCCGCGUGCAGGACGACGGCUCUACGAGUUGUAAACUGCUUUUGUACCGGGGUAAAAUGCUCUACGAGUAGGGUUUUGAAAGUACGGUACGAAUAAGGAUCGGCUAACUCCGUGCCAGCAGCCGCGGUAAUACGGAGGAUCCGAGCGUUAUCCGGAUUUAUUGGGUUUAAAGGGUGCGUAGGUGGUUUUAUAAGUUAGCGGUGAAAUACCGAUGCUCAACAUCGGGGCUGCCGCUAAUACUGUAGGACUAGAGAUCGGAUGCAGCAGGCGGAAUGUGUAGUGUAGCGGUGAAAUGCAUAGAUAUUACACAGAACACCGAUUGCGAAGGCAGCUUGCUAGGCCGGAUCUGACACUGAUGCACGAAAGCGUGGGGAUCGAACAGGAUUAGAUACCCCAGUAGUC